This is a long non-coding RNA of Anas platyrhynchos (mallard), 701 nucleotides long. RefSeq lists it as uncharacterized. The record is from RefSeq and is a predicted model, not a curated record. Lineage: Eukaryota; Metazoa; Chordata; Aves; Anseriformes; Anatidae.
CAUGCACAAAGCUACAAGCAGGCCAAAAAUUAUUGAGUCCUAAGCUCUUUUCACUUCAAACUGGAAUUUGUGUCGCAUCCAGGGAGAAGCCAGUUACCAGAGACUGCUGUAGCCAAGACGGAGCAGUAGCAGAAAGUCUGCUUCUCAGGCACCCAGCUGCACUUCGAGGAAGCCUUUAUGGGUCACGAUUAUGGCUGCUCCCAUCAGGGAGUGUACCAACAAGGCAUCAUGCAGGAAGAGGGGGACUGCAUGGCCCCGCACCGUGGCCACCUCUCUGCCCCUGGCACAGCACGCAAAUCCUGCAUUAAAUUCACUGGUAAAUCUGUAAGAGAGGCAUCCUGUGCUGUUAGGGUACUCCAUAGCUACUUCUCCAUGCAUCCAGUAUAUACAUGUAUGGAGCAGGAGUGGAAAUGCUCUGGAGGGUUACCUCUAUUUUUGUGUUUGUUUAUUUAUUUAUUUAAAUGAAUAUGUACUUAUUUCCUUGUAUGCUGCAACUUUUAACAGAAUGACUCUGAGUUCACAGUUUUUGUGCCUCAAUAAACCUCUAGCCCGAGCUUGCAAAGCCAUUUACUGCCUAUGGUUAAACAAUCUUCUUUGUAAAGAAACUAACUAUAAAAAUCUUCAAAACAGAUUCAUUACCUUUUCCUUAACAGCUGUUCCAAGACGUACUGUCAUCAGUCAUUUACUAAUGGUUAGCAAAC